This 322-nucleotide ribosomal RNA is filed under the name uncultured eukaryote. Its description in RNAcentral is "partial 18S ribosomal RNA". It matches the Rfam family "Eukaryotic small subunit ribosomal RNA", at positions 1470 to 1796 of the family's 1831-position model. The record is from RNAcentral.
CCCUUAGAUGUCCUGGGCCGCACGCGCGCUACACUGAGUGGAUCAGCGGGUCAGGUUGCGCGAAAGUGUUUCCUAAUCUUUAAAUCCGCUCGUGAUGGGGAUUGACGGUUGCAAUUUUCCGUCAUGAACGAGGAAUACCUUGUAAGCGCGGGUCAUCAUCCCGCGCUGAAUACGUCCCUGCCCUUUGUACACACCGCCCGUCGCUCCUACCGAUUGAGUGGUCCGGUGAGGCUUUGGGAUCUGAGCGGAAAGAGCGUUUCGCUGUUUCUGCCCGGAAAACUCAGUCGAACCUUAUCAUUUAGAGGAAGGAGAAGUCGUAACA